GACGGAAGGUGCAAGCGUUGCUCGGAAUCACUGGGCGUAAAGGGCGCGUAGGCGGCACAGCAAGUCGGGAGUGAAAGCCCGGGGCUCAACCUCGGAAUUGCCUUCGAUACUGGGUAUCUUGAGUUCGGGAGAGGUGAGUGGAAUGCCGAGUGUAGAGGUGAAAUUCGUAGAUAUUCGGCGGAACACCAGUGGCGAAGGCGACUCACUGGCCCGAUACUGACGCUGAUGCGCGAAAGCGUGGGGAGCAAACAGG
RNAcentral lists this ribosomal RNA (253 nucleotides) under uncultured bacterium. Its description in RNAcentral is "partial 16S ribosomal RNA". It matches the Rfam family "Bacterial small subunit ribosomal RNA", at positions 524 to 776 of the family's 1533-position model. The record is from RNAcentral.